UUACAGAUGACGAAGCACCUACUCUGAAUUGCCAAAAUGUAACUUCAACUACGCAAUGGGGACUAAAUUCAUCUUCAACUGUUGAUUUCAUGCCAAAUGCAACUGACAAUGUUGAUGCAGAUCCUAAUGUGACUUGUUCCCAUUCACCUGAACAUGAAUUCAUGAUUGGCAUUACAACUGUAAAUUGCUCGUCUACUGAUGAUGCCCGAAACACUGGCAGGUGCAUUCUUUCUGUUACAGUCACAGAUGACGAAGCACCUACUCUGAAUUGCCAAAAUGUAACUUCAACUACGGAUUGGGGACUAAAUUCAUCUUCAACUGUUGAUUUCAUGCCAAAUGCAACUGACAAUGUUGAUGCAGAUCCUAAUGUGACUUGUUCCCAUUCACCUGAACAUGAAUUCAUGAUUGGCAUUACAACUGUAAAUUGCUCGUCUACUGAUGAUGCCCGAAACACUGGCAGGUGCAUUCUUUCUGUUACAGUCACAGAUGACGAAGCACCUACUCUGAAUUGCCAAAAUGUAACUUCAACUACGGAUUGGGGACUAAAUUCAUCUUCAACUGUUGAUUUCAUGCCAAAUGCAACUGACAAUGUUGAUGCAGAUCCUAAUGUGACUUGUUCCCAUUCACCUGAACAUGAAUUCAUGAUUGGCAUUACAACUGUAAAUUGCUCGUCUA
This 675-nucleotide long non-coding RNA is filed under the name Strongylocentrotus purpuratus (purple sea urchin). RNAcentral describes it as "uncharacterized LOC115928779". The record is from RNAcentral. Lineage: Eukaryota; Metazoa; Echinodermata; Echinoidea; Camarodonta; Strongylocentrotidae.